RNAcentral lists this ribosomal RNA (330 nucleotides) under uncultured bacterium. RNAcentral describes it as "bacterial SSU rRNA". It matches the Rfam family "Bacterial small subunit ribosomal RNA", at positions 568 to 898 of the family's 1533-position model. The record is from RNAcentral.
AGCGUAGGCGGAUAGUUUAGUCAGAGGUGAAAGCCCAGGGCUCAACCUUGGAAUUGCCUUUGAUACUGGCUAUCUUGAGUACGGAAGAGGUAUGUGGAACUCCGAGUGUAGAGGUGAAAUUCGUGGAUAUUCGGAAGAACACCAGUGGCGAAGGCGACAUACUGGUCCGUUACUGACGCUGAGGCUCGAAAGCGUGGGGAGCAAACAGGAUUAGAUACCCUGGUAGUCCACGCUGUAAACGAUGAGUGCUAGUUGUCGGCAGGCAUGCCUGUCGGUGACGCAGCUAACGCAUUAAGCACUCCGCCUGGGGAGUACGGUCGCAAGAUUAAA